Molecule: unclassified non-coding RNA, 383 nt
Filed under: Hevea brasiliensis (rubber tree)
Lineage: Eukaryota; Viridiplantae; Streptophyta; Magnoliopsida; Malpighiales; Euphorbiaceae
Source: RNAcentral
CUUUCCAACAAAAUUAUCAACAUGAGCUGGGAAGACAUGUAUAAGGCCCUCCAUGUAUUGCUCUGAGUUGAGAAAUCUGUCAAACCCUAAAGGAAAUCCAUCAUUUAUGGUUGCAUAGUGUAUGUCAAGGCCAGAUUUACGAGCUUCAGUGAAGAUAUCGUCUUGGGUGGUAUUGGUAGGAGCAGAUUUCGUGAUCUGAAGGUGGAUUUUUUCUGUGUUGAUGAAGGUAAUGGUGAAGCCAUUGGAUGCUAGCUUUAUUGCAAGAUGAACAAAAGGGACGACAUGUCCUUGGAGAGGGCAGGGUACCAUGAUUGCAUGAGGCUUGUCUUGUGCAUCCUCCAUCUCCGAGCCUGUGUCUUGAGAGAGAGAGAGAGAGAGAGAGA